UACGGAGGGUGCAAGCGUUAAUCGGAAUUACUGGGCGUAAAGCGCACGCAGGUGGCUGAGUCAGUCGAUUGUGAAAGCCCUGGGCUUAACCUGGGAAUUGCAGUCGAUACUACUCAGCUAGAGUAUGGGAGAGGGUAGUGGAAUUCCCGGUGUAGCGGUGAAAUGCGUAGAUAUCGGGAGGAAAAUCAGUGGCGAAGGCGGCUACCUGGCCCAAUACUGACACUCAGGUGCGACAGCGUGGGGAGCAAACAGG
RNAcentral lists this ribosomal RNA (253 nucleotides) under uncultured bacterium. RNAcentral's name for it is "partial 16S ribosomal RNA". It matches the Rfam family "Bacterial small subunit ribosomal RNA", at positions 524 to 776 of the family's 1533-position model. The record is from RNAcentral.